ACCCAGAACGCGCGGAUCUAAUCCUGUUCGAGUCGGGUCAUCGGGUCUCGCAUAAUCUGAGCAAAUACGGUGCCGUUUAAACACCCCACAAGAACUAACUGAAACCCUAAAAUUUAAGAACUUUCAUUUUCUCUUUUACUCAUCAGCAGAAAAACUAAACUCUCCUCCUCCCUGCCGUCGCAUCAAACCUAAACCCUAUCUAACUCCGAUUUGGACGGAGUAAACAGAGCUCCAGCGUUGCGUUUACAAAGGUACGGAGGCCAGCUGGCAUACGGAGAUGGUGGACGUGGCGCAGCAUACGCGGAGGAGUUGGGGCUGCUGCAUCGCAGGGGGUUUGCUUGUUGCUAGGGUUUCUGUUAACUGCCUUUAGGUGCUGGGCCAUUGGGCCAUUAGGUUUUUGGUUAGUUUGGGCUAUUAGGCCGUUGUUUGUAAAUGGACAUUCAAAAAUGGGCUGAUGUUAUAUAUUCUAUUUUUAUACUGGUUUGUUAUUGGUGUUUGGGCCUGGCGAAUGUUGGGCAAUUACAGAAACCACCAACCACCACAUAUUAUUAUAUUAAACCAGAGAUGCAUUUGAUAGCCAA
Molecule: long non-coding RNA, 581 nt
Organism: Gossypium raimondii (Peruvian cotton)
Lineage: Eukaryota; Viridiplantae; Streptophyta; Magnoliopsida; Malvales; Malvaceae
Exons: 2
Source: RefSeq, a predicted model, not a curated record